AUGGACUAACUGUCACGUUACCAGACGGGACAUCGGCGGUGUGCGGACCUGAAACCACACGCAAAGGGCAGUACCUGGUACAACCGGUGAAGGGUGAAAUAGCAGAGAUAUACUGGGGACUAUUGAUACCGGAAAAGCCGGACAAACAGGGUAUUUUGUCCCAGUACUUCAAAUGGAGGCCGUGGAUCUCCCUCCUCGAGCCGUACUUUCCUCCGCCAGACCCCCCACAUGUAACCCUAUUUUAUGAUCGGCAGGGCGAUGAGGUGUAUAGAGAGGGGUUUGGGGAUGUAGUAUGUGGGGACACGUGGCAGGUCGGGUCUAAAUUCAUAUAUGUAGGCCCUGAAGGGGUAGCGGCAGAUGUACAGUUGACAGAGGAGCAGGAUCAGUGGUACAUGAUGGCGGAGGAGUCCGUCCCGUAUGUGGCACUGGCCCUGCAUCCUAAACACCAAGCAAAAGACCUGGGGCCCAUGGUUAAAAGGGCAGUCUAAUGCACUGAUUGGACACUCCCUCAGGCGCCAAACGUAUGGUACUCACACAGCUGUAAGACCUAAAAAUGGUUCACCUGCAUUGACCUGGCUAACACUUUUUUCUGUCUUCCACUAGCAGAGGAACUUCGUGAUAUUUUUUCUUUCACACAUAGGGGUCGACAAUGGCGAUACACGACCUGCUGAUUGCGGCUCCGACGGUGGCCGCCUGCAUCCAAACUACAAUGACGGUCCUCACCAGACUGGCAGAGAAAGGGUUGAAGGUAUCAAAAGAAAAGCUACAGCUGGUAAGCACGCAGGUCUCCUUUCUGGGCAGAGUAAUCUCGCAGAAAGGAGCGGGGCUUUCCCCAGCUCACCGCACAACCAUCCUCCACCAUCCUAAACCCACUACUGUUCAGGAAAUGCUAUCAUUCCUGGGGCUCACGGGGUACAGCCGCAAUUACAUCCCAAACUAUUCAGGGCUCACAGAGCUUCCCCACAAGAGAAAACAAUUUGGCAACAGAGACGAGCAACAGAGACGAGCGGGCUCUGGAGAGGGCCAGACGGUAGAGUAAUACUUCCACCAGCCAUGCGGGGAGAUAAAUUUGCUGAAGCCCAUGGGUUGGGCCAUGUAGGGCCAGCACAGAUGUUAAGGAACUUGUGCCAUUGGUGGCACCCGUUUAUGGUAGACAUGGUACGUAACUACACUAGGACAUGCACCAUCUGCACUCACCACAAUCCAAAACCGACGAUCAAACCUGAGAUGGGGGCAUUCCCCAUGACGACGAGGCCUGGACAAGAGAUAGUGAUAGAUUACACGGACAUGGGGGAAACUGUACGGGGGUGCCGCUACAUGUUAGUGUGUGUGGACAUGUUCACAGGGUGACUAGAAGCCUGGCCAGCUAGAAGGGAGUACAGUCAGACAGUGAUCAAGUGUUUAGUGAACCAGUACAUUCCCAGACACGGCUUCCCAGAGAAAAUUAGGUCAGACAAUGGGACUCACUUUAAGAACAGUGAUUUACAGAAGGUAGAGAGCUUAUUGGGCCUAAAACAUGCUUUUGGCACUGUGUACCAUCCACAGUCCCAGGGAAAGGUAGAAAGGAUGAACCAAAACUUAAAAAACAAGUUGGCUAAGAUAUGUGCACAGACUAAAUUGAACUGGGUAGAUGCACUGCCACUGGCACUCAUGAUGAUUCGAUGCUCGUUAAAUCAGACCACUGGGUUUACCCCAUAUGAGCUGCUGACGGGGAGACAGUUUCUAGGACCAACCGCGGGGCCUGCGGUCCCGGAAGGGGAAAAGUGGCCCAAAGACCACAGAGUGUAUUUUGAUGAAUUGCGAGCUCUCGUUUCAGAAUUCACCAACAGAGUCGGAGAAAGGAGGGACCUGCACCCCCGCUGGACCAGAACCUGCCCCAGGCGGAGUGGGUGUUGCUGAAGGUCAUCAAGCGAAAGUGGUCUGAGCCAAGGUGGACGGGUCCUCAUCAGGUGGUGGAGAGAACGAGUCAUGCGGUCCGCCUGAGGGACAAAGGAGAGACAUGGUACCAUUGGAGCCAGUGUACACCAGCGCAGGAGCCAGGGAGGUCGCUAACGGACCUCAUCCAAACCGGGAAGGAGGAGCUUUCCCCAGUGUGGACGGAAGGAGGACCAGCACCAGCCGGACCGGUGCCAGGAGCGGACCCCAGGACACGGCGGGACUACGAGCGAGAGAAGGAGACAAAGGACAGCGCCAGGGGAAUAGACUCUUAGGGGAAAGAACUGAGGAAUACUGUAACAAAAGGGGGUAUAGGACACAGAGUGGCUACCACUCGUACCAAGAUGACAGGGUUACAGAGAAAGGUCUGGGGAGAUGAUAGUAGAAUGAAAUGAGGGCUUGCCAUGAGAGUGAUCUCUACAGCCAUUGAGAAGGCUCCAGGACCGCCACCAGGGAUGCUGAUGCCUCUACUGGAGCAGCAUGACCUGGGAGAACUGGAGCUUGGCGAAUAGGGGUGAUCUCUCUGGGGAGAGAUCAAAAGGGGGA
Long non-coding RNA from Esox lucius (northern pike), 2481 nucleotides. NCBI's taxonomy places the organism in Eukaryota, Metazoa, Chordata, Actinopteri, Esociformes, Esocidae. The record is from Ensembl.